GAUUUAGAAUGCAUUAAAAGCUCUAACCAGCUUCACGCUGGAAAACUUAUUGUUCCUCAUGAUAAAUAUCUUGAAUACAUGCAAAGAAAACUAAUGUUAACUGGACACCAUUUUUAUUUUAGCAAAGCUUUUGAUAUAGCAAAAUCAAUAUGAGACUUAACUGAAGUCACCAUUCUGGAAUUAGCAAAACUAAUGAUAAGCUGUGUCUCAAAUGUCAUCUUAUCCUAUUCCAGUUCCCUUUCAAUCUCCUU
Molecule: long non-coding RNA, 251 nt
Organism: Brassica rapa (field mustard)
Lineage: Eukaryota; Viridiplantae; Streptophyta; Magnoliopsida; Brassicales; Brassicaceae
Source: RefSeq, a predicted model, not a curated record